This 281-nucleotide ribosomal RNA is filed under the name uncultured Bacillota bacterium. RNAcentral describes it as "uncultured Firmicutes bacterium partial 16S ribosomal RNA". It matches the Rfam family "Bacterial small subunit ribosomal RNA", at positions 227 to 524 of the family's 1533-position model. The record is from RNAcentral. Lineage: Bacteria; Bacillati; Bacillota.
GAGUCUGCGUUUCAUUAGCUCCCUUGGUGAGGUAACGGCCCACCAAGGCGACGAUCCAUAGCCGACCUGAGAGGGUGACCGGCCACAUUGGGACUGAGACACGGCCCAAACUCCUACGGGAGGCAGCAGUGGGGAAUAUUGCACAAUGGGCGAAAGCCUGAUGCAGCGACGCCGCGUGAGCGAAGAAGUAUUUCGGUAUGUAAAGCUCUAUCAGCAGGGAAGAUAAUGACGGUACCUGACUAAGAAGCACCGGCUAAAUACGUGCCAGCAGCCGCGGUAAU